Molecule: ribosomal RNA, 422 nt
Filed under: uncultured archaeon
Lineage: Archaea
Description: partial 16S ribosomal RNA
Rfam family: Archaeal small subunit ribosomal RNA
Source: RNAcentral
CUACGGGGUGCAGCAGGCGAGAAAACUUUGCAAUGUGCGAAAGCACGACAAGGUUAAUCCGAGUGGUUUGUGCUAAACGAACCUUUUGACAGUCCUAGAAACACUGUUGAAUAAGGGGUGGGCAAGUUCUGGUGUCAGCCGCCGCGGUAAAACCAGCACCUCAAGUGGUCAGGAUGAUUAUUGGGCCUAAAGCAUCCGUAGCCGGCUCUGUAAGUUUUCGGUUAAAUCUGUACGCUCAACGUACAGGCUGCCGGGAAUACUGCAGAGCUAGGGAGUGGGAGAGGUAGACGGUACUCGGUAGGAAGGGGUAAAAUCCUUUGAUCUAUUGAUGACCACCUGUGGCGAAGGCGGUCUACCAGAACACGUCCGACGGUGAGGGAUGAAAGCUGGGGGAGCAAACCGGAUUAGAUACCCGGGUAGUC